RNAcentral lists this long non-coding RNA (212 nucleotides) under Ricinus communis (castor bean). RNAcentral describes it as "long non-coding RNA (RCOM_LNC001846)". The record is from RNAcentral. Lineage: Eukaryota; Viridiplantae; Streptophyta; Magnoliopsida; Malpighiales; Euphorbiaceae.
UACUAUGCUAAUUUUAGUUGCUUAGUAAUCGGAGAUCUUCAUGACCAAUGUCGAUUUUCGCAUAAAAAGGCAAUUAAGAUUAUGAGUAUGCAAAGCAUCUUGAUGUAUGUUUUGUUGAAUAACCAGGUGCAUUCAUUACCCAUAUUUAAAUUUGCGUAAAAAGGCAUAACAUCUCAAGAAAGAAAGAAGUACUCCAAGUAUUAAAAAUUAAA